AAGAUUUUAAGUUAACAAAAACUAUAGGCCUUCAAAGCCUGAAAUAAAAAAUGAUUUUUAAAUCUUG
This 67-nucleotide transfer RNA is filed under the name Polinices sagamiensis. RNAcentral describes it as "tRNA-Trp". Lineage: Eukaryota; Metazoa; Mollusca; Gastropoda; Littorinimorpha; Naticidae. The record is from RNAcentral.